RNAcentral lists this long non-coding RNA (847 nucleotides) under Homo sapiens (human). RNAcentral describes it as "HSALNT0281460". Lineage: Eukaryota; Metazoa; Chordata; Mammalia; Primates; Hominidae. The record is from RNAcentral.
CACGAUCUUGGCCCACUGCAACCUCCACCUCCAGUUUCAAGCGAUUCUCCUGCCUCCGCCUGCCGAGUAGCUUGGACUACAGGCAUGCACGACCACGCCAAGGUAAUUUUUGUAUUUUUAGUAGAGACAGGGUUUUGCCAUGUAGGCCAAGCUGGUCUCAAACUUCUGGCCUCAGGUGAUCCAUCCACCUCAGUCUCCCAAAGUGCUGGGAUUAUAGGCAUGAGCCACCAUGCCCGGCCUUAAUCUUUGCUUUGGUAUCUGCUGUAAGAAUGACUUCUGCCACAAAAAGUCACACACUUUUUCUCCCACUUUUUAAAAAAACUGUUAUCAAAAAUAGGCAACUAUUUUUACUUAAACUUUGAAAAUAUAAUCCUGGACGUCUUAAGAUUAAAGAAUGUGAUGAUGAAAGCAGGUAACACUCAACUUGGAAAGAAGAGCAGAAAAGUACUUUCACUAGAGAAAUCGUAAUGAGAGGUUGCCAUCAUUUAGGCAGCAUGUGGGUACUUUACAAACAUAAAAUUAGAGCGUUACAAAAAUCCUUUGAAUUCCCUAAUUUUACAAACUUAAAGUCCUUAAUUAAAAACAACAACACAAUUGCAAGUUGACAAAUAAGACAAAAUCCCUUGCAAAAAAUAAUCAUUAAAAACUAGUAGUUACAGAAUAUAUUUUUACACUGAUUUUUGAAAAUGAAAUUUUGUGUUAAAAUCAUAAAAUAAAAAGCAUAAAAUAGAAGCUAUUAAUUAUGUUGUAAUGGUAAAUACUGGAUUUGGGCUGCUAUUUUAAUGGUAUUUAUUCUGCAUAAUAUGCAUAAUAUAUCUAUGUGGUCCCAUAUUCAUUUAUCCUAUUU